GACGAACGCUGGCGGCGUGCUUAACACAUGCAAGUCGAACGGAAAGGCCCUGCUUGCAGGGUACUCGAGUGGCGAACGGGUGAGUAACACGUGGGUGAUCUGCCCUGCACUUCGGGAUAAGCCUGGGAAACUGGGUCUAAUACCGGAUAGGAGCCAUUUUUAGUGUGAUGGUUGGAAAGUUUUUUCGGUGUAGGAUGAGCUCGCGGCCUAUCAGCUUGUUGGUGGGGUAAUGGCCUACCAAGGCGGCGACGGGUAGCCGGCCUGAGAGGGUGGACGGCCACAUUGGGACUGAGAUACGGCCCAGACUCCUACGGGAGGCAGCAGUGGGGAAUAUUGCACAAUGGGCGCAAGCCUGAGGCAGCGACGCCGCGUGGGGGAUGACGGCCUUCGGGUUGUAAACUCCUUUCGCUAGGGACGAAGCUUUUGUGACGGUACCUAGAUAAGAAGCACCGGCUAACUACGUG
This 464-nucleotide ribosomal RNA is filed under the name uncultured bacterium. RNAcentral describes it as "partial 16S ribosomal RNA". It matches the Rfam family "Bacterial small subunit ribosomal RNA", at positions 28 to 507 of the family's 1533-position model. The record is from RNAcentral.